Molecule: ribosomal RNA, 253 nt
Filed under: uncultured bacterium
Lineage: Bacteria
Description: partial 16S ribosomal RNA
Rfam family: Bacterial small subunit ribosomal RNA
Source: RNAcentral
UACAGGGGGGGCAAGCGUUGUUCGGAAUUACUGGGCGUAAAGGGUCUGUAGGUGGCGAACUAAGUCAGACGUGAAAUCCCUCAGCUUAACUGGGGAACUGCGUCUGAUACUGGAUGGCUUGAGUGUGGGAGAGGAAUGCGGAAUUCCAGGUGUAGCGGUGAAAUGCGUAGAUAUCUGGAGGAACACCGGUGGCGAAGGCGGCAUUCUGGACCAUAACUGACACUGAGAGACGAAAGCCAGGGGAGCAAACGGG